CCUACGGGGGGCAGCAGUAAGGAAUAUUGGUCAAUGGACGCAAGUCUGAACCAGCCAUGCCGCGUGCAGGAUGAAGGCCUCUGGGUUGUAAACUGCUUUUAUGGGGGACGUGGUACCCUAGGAAUAAGCACCGGCUAACUCCGUGCCAGCAGCCGCGGUAAUACGGAGGGUGCAAGCGUUAUCCGGAUUUACUGGGUUUAAAGGGUGCGUAGGUGGAUAAGAAAGUCAGUGGUGAAAUCUUCGGGCUUAACCCGGAAACUGCCAUUGAUACUAUUUAUCUUGAAUACUCUGGAGGUAAGCGGAAUAUGUCAUGUAGCGGUGAAAUGCUUAGAUAUGACAUAGAACACCAAUUGCGAAGGCAGCUUACUACAUGUAUUGACACUGAGGCACGAAAGCGUGGGGAUCAAACAGGAUUAGAUACCCUUGUAGUC
This 431-nucleotide ribosomal RNA is filed under the name uncultured bacterium. RNAcentral describes it as "partial 16S ribosomal RNA". It matches the Rfam family "Bacterial small subunit ribosomal RNA", at positions 338 to 795 of the family's 1533-position model. The record is from RNAcentral.